Molecule: regulatory RNA element, 214 nt
Organism: Synergistes jonesii
Lineage: Bacteria; Thermotogati; Synergistota; Synergistia; Synergistales; Synergistaceae
Source: Rfam
AUUAUAUGUUAUGUCGGCGGCAUUCUGCUAUAAUUACGGAAACAAUAAAAUAUUGUCUCUCAGGGGAAGGGAAACCGGUGCGUAUUUUCUAUGCCGGUGCGGCCCCGCCACUGUAGCUCGGACGAAAGCGAAAGGAUGCCACUGGAUUUUUCCGGGAAGGCUCGCGAUUAGGAUGAAGGGAAGCCAGGAAACCUGCCUGUGAGAGCUCAAGGGG